Molecule: long non-coding RNA, 2553 nt
Organism: Cuculus canorus (common cuckoo)
Lineage: Eukaryota; Metazoa; Chordata; Aves; Cuculiformes; Cuculidae
Exons: 4
Source: RefSeq, a predicted model, not a curated record
GCAGCUUUGAUGCCCAGUGGUGCGCAGAGCGGCCCUGUGCUUGGCCUGCCAGCUGCCCCCCUCCUCCUGCCCUGGCUUCCUCACUUCUCCGGAAGGGUGGAGGCUGCUGCCUCCUCUGUGCUCUGGCCAUGGAUGGGGCUGUACAAAGCCUGUGUUCACAGCCUCUCUGCCUGAUCCUUGCACUGGGAAGCAGGGCCCCUCUGCUGCCAGCCCUUCCAGCAUCUGGACUUCCCCUAAAGUCUCAGCAAGAAACUCUGCUCUCUCUAAAAAAAGGAAAGAAGUAGCUGAUCUCAGUGUUGCAGAGAAAAACUGGAAGUCUUGCCCAACAGACUCAAAAAAAAAAGAGGGACUUGAAAAAAGGUAAGAAGUCGUCCCCUGUGGCCUGCCUCAAACCACUACCCCACACCGCUUGGUUCCUUGGGUGCUUGCAGCUGCUUGCCACUGCUAUAGCCAGCCUGUACCCCAGAAACAACGGCAUCGGGAUCCAGUUUUUGCAGUGUUGUUUGAGAUCCCUCACUGACCCGCUGACCAGGAUGCUCUCCUAUUCCACAUCUGAUCAUACUGCUAGGCUGCAGUAUUGGUCCUCCACCCUUUCCUGGUACAGCUGGCAGAGGAGGGAGCAACACAAAUUUUUGUCUUAGCAGAAGAGAAUGGCGAAAGUACAGAGUGCAUCUGGAGCCAUCUCCUGAGCAUUGCUCAUGAAUUAGCGGGCCAAAUCGCUGUUAAAAAACCCGCCUCAAUGGCAUACUAAUGAGGUUACACUGGUUUACUGCAGCUGAGGCUCUGUCCCUGUCACCACUAGGAAAAGUUGAUCAGGUCCAGUGGAUUGCUGACUUCUUUUAUGAAGAAGCUAUAAAAAGUUCUUUGCUUCUGCUAGUGCUUCUCUCUGGGGAGUUGUUGGCAGAGAGAGGCGAGUCUCUCAGCAAUAAUACAUUUCAAAGUUAUUAUGCCAGCAGAAAAGAAACAUAGGGAUUUGAACUUGGUAAUAUAUAUAUUUUUUUUAAGACAGGACAGAACACUAAAAGGUCCCCCUUCCCCGCUGCCGCACAGACCUCCCAGGUCCACAGGACACCUGGCUUGCUGCACUACGGGAUGGCAGCGGCUGCAACCGGGACCUCAUUUCAGGUCUAAUCCCAGGGGAGGUGACAAGUGUGGCUCUGGAUUUUGAUGUCUCGGUCCUGCCUAUGAGCUGGCUCCUGCACUGGCUGGGAGGGAUGGAGAUUUGGGCAGAGCCUGCCCAGCCUCUGGGCUUGUCCCUUCUUCUGGCUGCGGACAGAUGGGGUCACCUCUCUCCACCUCACUGCUGUAACAAACCCACUAGUCAGGGUGACGCAUUUGGGUAGUGAAUGGUGCUGCCUGAAUCUUUUGCUGUGGUAAUAAUAGUGCUUUCACCCAGGAAAUAAGUGAAUUGUCAGCUGAGACCUCCUCUUUUUGUAAUGAUUAACCCUCCACUAAUGAUUUGAUAUAAUAUUGGGUGACGCUGAGUGCUGCAAUAUUGAUGUUUAAUGUGGUCCAACGCAAAAGCUCAGGAAGCAAUAAAGAUUUACCCUGGCUAAUAUGUCAGGGCCGGGUUGUCCCUGGGCACUGUACUAGCCCAUGGCCUGAUGUGUUUGCUGUAGUGUGGCAGCCUCACCAAACAGAAGCUGAAUUUCUGGCUAAUAAUUUAAUGAAGCCUUCACUGCAUUUCCAGUUACUGGAAAAAGCCAUGAUUCUUUUUUGCUACAUGUUAUAAAACCAGCCCUUCAUACUCCACUGAGCCAAGGGAGAGCACCUCAUCCCUCUAUUUGAGCUCACCAGACCUGCAGCAGAGCCUGCCUGGUCCACAGCUACGUGCUAAGGCUGUACAGGCGCUGCGCAUGGGGCUGGGAGCCAGCUCCCAAAUGGAGAAGGGCAGCAGAGGUAGAGCACCACACCGGGGCACCUACCUGGCCUCCUUGCCCUGCACGCAGCUGAGGUAGAUGAAGCUGGUGCAGACCGGCGCCAGAAAUAAGGUGGCGUGGGAGGAAAACUUGGAAGGACAAAUUACCCCAAGUAUUGAUUCCCUGGCUGCUUGCAGAGGGAUUUCAUUUAGCAAUACUGCCAAUGACAUUAUGUGCAGGAUCUUAUCCAUGGUAGUUCGGUGGCAUUAAGAGAAUUACUUUGGCCUAAUGAAUAGGAAUAAGAAUAUUUCAGCCUCCUCCCUGGAAAGUAAUGGUGGAUCAUCAAGUGUGCAGCCAAGUUCAGAUCUAGUCACUUGCCAAGUGAAUGCAAAUGACAGGUUGUUUUAUUUAAUGGAGACCAUGGUGUGUUGGCCAAAACCGCUGUCUCUUUUUUCUGUAGAUUGGUUCCCCCCUCCCUUCUAAAUCAGACUUUGUCUCUACUCCUGACUGGCUUUUUUUUUUUUUUUUUAACAAGCAGAAGAGAUUUUUGCUGACUCUUGCACUGAAAUCUGUCUGUAUAGAUUGCAACAAACCUCCUCAAUCAGCUGUAUUUCAUACCGCAUUAGGGAAGAAAGCAGGAGCCAGUGCAGUGGUGGUCAUCACCGCCAGCCUGCAGUGGAGCUGGUGCUCCUUG